Long non-coding RNA from Lepidothrix coronata (blue-crowned manakin), 271 nucleotides. RefSeq lists it as uncharacterized. The transcript has 6 exons. NCBI's taxonomy places the organism in Eukaryota, Metazoa, Chordata, Aves, Passeriformes, Pipridae. The record is from RefSeq and is a predicted model, not a curated record.
GGGAAAUGUGGGUUUGUCUGGAAAACCGGGUCAGAAGGGAGAAGCUGGGGAACCAGGAGUGAGAGGAAUCAGGGGCCCUCCUGGAAUCCCAGGACGACCCGGAGAACGAGGAAUGAAAGGAGACACGGGACAACCUGGAAAGGAUGGGGAGCCUGGACUGCCUGGAAUUCCUGGAAGCGUGAUAACUUCCCUGGAGAACAUCCUGAAAGGAGACAAGGGGGAUCCCGGCAAGGACGGAUUGAGAGGGGAAAGAGGCCCCCCAGGCCCAAAG